UUUUAGCAAGAAGCCAUCUUCAGAGCACUAAUUCGUAAUAAUUGGAAUUUGAAGGUGGUUCCCGGGGUUUUGAGCAUGAGGCCAUCUUCAAAGCACUAAUUUGUAAUAAUUGGAAUUUGAAGGUGGUUCCGAGGGUUUUGAGGUGCGCUGAAGACGAUGCAAUGAUUUAAAAUUGUGUCCGACGUUUCGUUUUAGCAAGAAGACAUCUUCAGAGCACAAAUUCGUAAUAAUUGGAAUUUGUUGGUGGUUUUGGUGGUUUUGAGCAUGAAGCCAUCUUCAGCGCUCUAAUUCGUAAUAAUUGGAAUUUGAAGGUGGUUCCGGGGGUUUUGAGCAAGAAGCCAUCUUCAGAGCACUAAUUCGUAAUAAUUGGAAUUUGAAGGUGGUUCCCGGGGUUUUGAGCAUGACGCCAUCUUCAAAGCAUUAUUUCGUAAUAAUUGGAAUUUGAAGGUGGUUUUAUGGGUUUUGGGGUGCGCUGAGGGCGAUGCAAUGAUUUAAAAUUGUGUCCGACGUUUCGUUUUACCAGGAAGGCAUCUUCAGAGAACUAAUUCGUAAUAAUUGGAAUUUGAAGUUGAUUCCGGGGGUAAGCUGAGAGCGAUGCAAUAUAUGGAGGCGGUCUGUAUACGAAGGCGGUCCGUAUACAUAGGCGGUCCGUAUACGAAGGCGGUCUGUAUAGGAAGGCGGUCUGUAUAUGGAGGCGAUGCGUAUAUAGAGGCGGUCUGUAUAUGCAGGCGGUCUGCAUAUGGAGGCGGUCUGUAUAUGGAGGCGGUCUGUACGUAGCUAGUUAGCUAGUAGCUAGACUCGUCGUUGCGAUAGUAAUCCUGCUCAGUAGGAGAGGAACCGCAGGUUCGGACAUUUGGUUCACGCACUAGCUCGAGCGGGCUAUGGUGCGAAGCUACCAUCCGUUGGUUUAUGCCUGAACGCCUCUAAGGCCGUAUCCUUUCUAGUCGAAGGCGGCAACGAUAUCUUUUGGAGUUCCAAGAGUCGAAAGGCUCAAAACAAUGUGACUUUACUAGGCGGUCGGCGUCCGCCUUCGCACGAGCCCGAUUGGCGCUCGAGGUCACCGAUCGGCCGCGGGAUCGAUCCUUGCCACGUCCGAUCAGACCUUCAGGCGGCCGAUCGUGGGUCAAUCCUUUCGAUGUCGGAACUCGGAAAAAAAACUGCUGUCAAUCCAAGAAAGUGAAAUUUUUAAGUAGUUACCUGCAGUUUUGACUAUAAUCUACCGUAAAUCAUAGGCGAAAACCAAUUAUUUGUCUCAAAAAGAGGGGUUUUAAGUAUAUAUCUGCUUUUCUAAGGUAGAUUUGGGUGCACUAAGAGGCGAAAAAGCAGAUUCUGGCAGGUAUCUUAUCGAAAUCGGCAACUAUUUGACUCAGAAAGGUGGUGAUAUUUAUUGGUUUAUGAAGAUUUUCUCUACUAUAAUGCUUAAAGACGCCAAUUUUGGCUAGUAUUUGAAAGAUAUUGACAUGAAUAUGUAACCUUUUGGAGUAAAAAGUGAUAGUUUGAGCUGAUAUUUGCAGUUUUG
Molecule: long non-coding RNA, 1519 nt
Organism: Cylas formicarius (sweet potato weevil)
Lineage: Eukaryota; Metazoa; Arthropoda; Insecta; Coleoptera; Brentidae
Exons: 5
Source: RefSeq, a predicted model, not a curated record